Molecule: long non-coding RNA, 9201 nt
Organism: Hydractinia symbiolongicarpus
Lineage: Eukaryota; Metazoa; Cnidaria; Hydrozoa; Anthoathecata; Hydractiniidae
Exons: 2
Source: RefSeq, a predicted model, not a curated record
CUCGUUUUGUUUCUAUUGUUUAAUUUGCUUACUUUUUUUAUUAUUUUUAAAGAAAAUAAUCAAUGAUUAAAAAAAUUCUUACUGAUUAUGAAAAGAGGAAGGCACUUCUGGCAAUUCCUUGUAAAAUAACAGUUCAUACUUUUAAGCUAUGUGUAAGAAUAUUUUAAACUGCAUUCUUAUAACUAAAGUUAAUUUAGUUUUCUUCUCAACAAGUGAAAGUAGACUUGUGGUAGAGCAUUGUGGUAGAUAGUUCCUUUCUGCUGCAAAAGGUUGUGGUUUCAAACCCUGGCUAAGUCUUUCCUUUCUGCUUAGCAUUCAGAAUGAGAAUAGAAUUUUUAUCCCAGGCAUUUAUCUAGUUGAGCAAUUGCUGGUUUGUAGGCUUUGGACUCAAAUGGGAGCUUUAAAUGCACAAAUGUGCCAGUAGUAACUGAAGAGGCUAUCCUAGGUAAAUAACUUUAAUAAUAUUAAUACAGACGAUCAAUAUAACCACAUAGCUUAAAAUAAAUAUUAGUAGUAUAGUAAGAGCAUUAUAAGCGUUUUUUUUUCUCCUUUCACACCUUUACCCCGUCAAACCCCCGCUUCCACCACCUCCACCCCCACCCCAGCGCUACCCUCCCCAAAUCAAAAAAAUCCGACGGCAUCCGAAAACAAAUCCGAUAAAUUCCGAUCCCGGAAAAUUCUUGCGCAUGCGCACACGCUGAUAGUAAUAAUGCUGACAUCAACAAAAUCCAGAGCAUGCGCAGUUGAGUAGGGGCGAGUGUCAAUACUCAAAAAUAGACCGUGCUAUUCAAAGUUGAAAACUACCCCAGAGGUGUAAAAAGAAGAAUGGAAGUCUCAAAAUGCCCACAAUGUAGACAAUUUUUACCCAUGGAUAAAUUCAGGUUCAAGGUUGACGGAUAGCUGACAAAAUAGGCAACGGGUUGCUGCCCUAGCAAAAUAUGGUAAUGGCAUAGUGUGCCCCUAUUGUAAAAAACUUAAAUUUGACUGUGAGUAUAGGAUCAUAGACAAAAAAAGACCCAGAUUUAGCACAAAUUGCAUUGAGUGCCUGAUCAAGAACGCGGCCAAGCCAGAGCUAAGUCGACAAAUGUAUUUCAGCUGGGGACCCCCCCAAAUUACCCCGAUGCAUCCCUGAAAACCGAUAAACCCUGGAACACAACGUUAGCAAUAUUGCUGACAUCAACAAAAUCCUAAGCAUGCGCAGUUGAGUAGGGGUGAGCCCCAUACUCAAAGCCCGACCGUGCUAAUUGAAAUCGAAAUCUACCUAUAUUAAAGAUGAAUUGUAUUCAAGCAUAUGUGGGUCAAGCUCAUCUCCAUGAGAGAGCCCCUACUUGGAUGUGGACCUCUUUUAGACUGGUUGCGUGGCAAAAGGUGCAUAUACAGCUUUGACAAGACAGACGAAAGAACGGAUAGCCUGUGCUUUUGGAGAUGCCUAGCCGUUCACUACCGGGAAGAGCUAACGCAGCAUGAAAGUUUGUAACAAGACCAGCCCUCAAAUUGGCCCGCGAGUACUACGAGGACCCCUGAAGAUUACCAGGGGUUCCGGGAUGAGUUCUACAAGAGGGGGUGUGUUACUAUGAUGGACUGGUUGACCGAGUACAACCUGGCGGACCUGAUACCCUUCUAUAUAACUUGCCAUGGGCAUAUACAGCAAAUCAAACUGAUGCAUCUCAUUGGUUUUGUAAUGGUGAAAUGAGGGUAGUCGAUACGUUUAGGGCCUCAAAUAUGUCUGAGCCAACGGAUUUGACGAGUCAGCCAAAGGGUAACACGCUUCUUGGAGAGACCACUCUCCUCAGGGAGCAGUUUGAUAGCCUUUCGACCAGUCCAGAGAUGUUCCGGGGUAUAAUAGAUUUGGCUCAAUUUCCCCGCUUCUUCCUCGGUAACGAUAUGUGCUUUUGACAUAUUUAUUAUAUCUCAAAAUGCUUAAGCAUACUUGUACACCGCAAAACCCAGGAGAGCCAGAGGGCCCACGAUGAACGUGGGUUCACCGUCCUUCUGUUUCUGGGAAGGCUCAUAAAAGUCUGAUAGUUUGGGCUCUUUUUCGAUAGUCGCGAUGUAAUAGUCUUUCAUACCCUCAUCAAAUUCUUUCAAAGACUCACCAGCCUGGCGCUUCAAUUCACGAUGAUGGUUAUACCAGUCGAUCUUGGCCUGCCUGUCCCGCACGCCUUUGGGCCUGGGCUGCUUGCAAUUGUUCCACGGCCUUAUCAUGCCUUUUCCUCUCUUCCUCACCAUGUCCUGAAAGUUUGCUGAAAAGGAAAUUAGAUCCGCUAAACACGAGCGCGUUGAUAGCUGCCAUAUAUUCUGAGAUGAAACGAUUGCCUAUUGCAAUGUUCUUACUCACCAACAUGGUAAAUACAAAAAUUGUGGUCUUCUAAUACAUCACAUCUUCCAGCCUACCAUCCAAAAUGUUUAACUGCGCGUCUUUGAGCAAAUAUACAUAACAUGUAAUAUCACCGGCUCCGUCGGCCUCCUUGGUCAUGUGCAAAGUGAUCCCAUCACUAAGCCUUUGCAAGGGUCUACCCGAACCAUGCAGCUUGUUAUCGAUGGAUACCCUAAAGUCUAUGAAAAGCGCGUACCUUUCGUUGAAGAACUGGCCUAUUGUUACUGUGGAGUGCGCACUUCCAAACAGCCCCGCAACUUGCUUGAAAUGGUCCUUGGGUAGCAUGGUGUGACUGUAUAGUUCGUUCGGUUCACCUUCCACGGUGAUCACGAUUCUUUCAAUAUUGGGGUUGUAGAAUGUCUCGUUUACGCCAGAGUAUGGUUUCACUAUAACAGGGUCUUGAAACAGUAAUAGCACGCCCUUUAAAGACUUUGCUGGUGUAUCGAUUUGAAGGUUGUAGCUGGUAUCUGCCUUUUGCAUUUUCACAAUUUGCUGCGGAGCACCCUCUCAUAUGGCAGCGCUAGCCUCAAAUACCUUGACACCAUAGCACUAGCCAGGCUUUCGUGGUAUACCUUGUCAAACUCGAGCACAAUAUUGGUAAUUUUGUAGGUUGCAUCAGCAGGUUUAGCUUCUACCACACUAGAUCCAGACCCCGACUGAGGUGUGCCUUCAUCUUUAAUUACAUUGCUGUGCUGUGCGAAGUGCAGCACAAACUGUUGUCUGUCGUGCAGUCCUGCUUGAUAAAAGGGCAGAUUCCUCGUCAACUUGAACAUUUUGCCAAGCGGGAUGCAAAAAGUGUUUCAACAUUUCCGGCUUUGAAUGUAGAUUUCACUUGGAGCUGUCUCGUGGCACCAUCCGGCACGUCAUUACCUUUGAGUGUCAAUUCGUUUUUGCGCUCUAAUUUGGGCAGCCAAAGGUCCCUGUACACUGCAAAGGUACUGUAGUCGCUAAUGUUCUGCACUUCUCUGCUAUUUAGAGUGAUGCAAAGGUCCUGCACCAGGGCCUUACCAAUGUUGUUUACGAUUGUGCGAUUCGUGUUGGUUCCCGUGAUUACAAGGUCAAAGAGGAGCGUAAUAGAGCCGGGGCAAAUGACAUUAUUCAUGCCCAUAUUGGGAAUUUCCAUGUACAAGUUCUUGUUCUGGUUAAUCGUGCUGGGUGUAUGCGAUAUUUUCACACGCUGUCUCUUCCCCUUUAUGGAGAGCAAAGUUCUCGUUUCUGUGUAUGGAUCAAGUUCAAUUCAGUACAUCUACAUCAUCAAAGAGUGGAAUAAAUGAAAGAUAAUCCUGGAUUCGAUGACGAUUUCACGGCGGAGGAGGACCUUGACCGUGGUGAAGAGGGGGAAUCUUUCGGUAGACCUGAGGAUAUUCCUUGGGUCCACCACCAUCACGCCCGCAACACCUUCACGAGGCGGCCUCACUGAGACCGCGACUCUCACAGCAAGGGGGGAGCUACUGAGGUCGAAGGUUGACGAUCUUUACAAAGCUCUUGGUGAUGAGCUGGGGCAGCCUAGCACUAGAUACUACAACGAGUUUGAGGUCAAAGGGAACCAGCUUCUUUACGAUGGUGUAGAGCUCAUGAAAAGGAAUGGUGAACUGAGGAGCAUUGCCAAGAUACAACGGAGGUUGGGGACGAAUCGCAUGCGAGCCAUGGGGUUUACCGACUAUACUACACCAAACAGGGGCAGUAAGGCAGCAGCUAACAAACUUAUGAACGAAUUGAACCAUAUGGAGGAAAGGGCUGAUGACAUCGAGAUGCUGCCACUGCUCGAAAAUGUUUUAGACGGAGAGUCUUAUCGAAGAUACUUCCUUUGGCGGGGAUGGAAGCUUUACGGAACGCGAAAGAAGAGGGCUCAACUUCGAGCUUCAAACGCUAAGAGGCAAUCUGAGGAAUCUGAAAAGCAAGAUGAUAUUUUACGAUAGCGAGAUAGACAAAGCAGAGGCCAAGGUGAAACAUCUCAAGAGCAGGAAAGCUACACCUUAUCUGAGGAGCAGAUAGCUAUCUGGAAUGAAGACAUCGCGAAGGCCAGGGAAGAGAUAGAGGGACUCCAUGAUCAGAAGGAAGAAGCACGAAAAACGCACGGUUUACUUUCCUCAGACACCCAAAGCCAACUGAAGCACAUUAAAGACACUCUGAUGAAGAUCGCUAGGGAUGAUACAUCUUUGCUAGAAAAGCUUGAGAUUCUCUUCAAGGAGCAGGGGAUCACCAUUGCGAGCAUCGUUUCUGCUGUUGGUCUACUGAUAAGCAUAAUCAUGCUCACUGUUACUGGAGGUGAUGGAGGUGCUGCUAGAGGUGCUGCCGCUUGGGGUGGGGAAGGUUUUGUACGGAAACAGCUUGAAAGACUAGGGAAAUUCUAGAGGUACCUAGUAGGCAAAGCAGGUGUGGCAUUACCAGGGAUCAUUGGCAGUGUGGUAUCAUUUUUUUCAGAGCUGCGGCUAAGAUUGUGGAAUUUGCAGCCAAACAUCUGUACAUGGUUUUAGCUGCUGUGGCGGCAUUCGUUGUGACCUAUGUUGGGAGGGCUGGGACGGGUGGCAAGAAUCGAUGAGUCCAAUAUGUUUGUACAAUAUAUUGGAACCUUAUCUCAUCCAGAGAUAGAUUAGAAUGAGGCCUGUUCCAGCAAUGAUCAAGGUGGUCUUGGAUAUUUAUUUCCAAGGGGGCGGCAUGGCAUGCUGGAUAUCGUGCUUGGCAACAUCUUGGACAUUAAUCAUGGGGUUAGUACCAAUGGAGAAAUACUCCUUACUGAUGAGUAUCUUGUUCGUAAAAUUCAUGACACUCCUGAUAUGAAGGCUCAUGUUGUUGGGUAUCAUAUGGACACCGUGAGCUACGCUGUAAUCUACCUUCGAACGGGCAUACUUCAGCACGUUUUGAAACUCGUCAAUUUCCCUACUGGUGUUACUCGAUCUCAAUAUCAAGCCUUUAAUCUCCGUCAAAUAGAGGCGCUGCGCAUCGAUAGCACUUCCCUGGUUGCCUAUAAUGCCCAAUCUCACAUUGGCUUGGCUCUGCAAUAUUAGAUAGGCAUAUAGUCGCACGCUUUGGGAGAGCUUCCCUACACCUAUAUGCUUUAAGCCUUGGGAUUUCUCCAGAAUCCACCAGCUCCACGAGUCUUUAUUGAAAUAGGAAGGACCCGAUCCGGGAUAAUCUUUGCGAAUAGCUUGCCAAUUGGAGAAUAGGGCCUCAUUCCGCCAUUCCCAUUCGCUGGCACUUAUAUCAAAUUCACAUGUAGUCGACGAAAAUGUUGGAGAAUUUCACCUUGAAUGAGGACCCCUUCGCGUCAAUAACGAUGUCUUGUAUUGAAAGGUCAUCACCCUUGAGUCUCUCGAGAUAGCGCCCAUGCUCUGGGGUUAUACGAGUAAGUGCUCAUCUUUUAUUAAAGAAACAUGAAGCAACUGUAUAUCACUGAUAUCGAAAAGCCUACGAUAUUUGAAGACUACCUAGGGCAGGACACGAGGAUCGCAUUGAAAUCCAUCACCAUUCGACCCAUGUGGCUAAACCUCUUCAGUAAUAGCGAGUUUACAAUCCGUAAGGCAGGGCCUGAUCAAAGGGUUACUUAAAUUGAAAUAAUGAAUGGGUUGUACAAGAUAGAGGAUUUGGCAAUCAUCAUCAACAAGCAAGCGGAGGGCAAGAUCGAGAUCUUCGUGCUGAGGAACGGACUCUGCAGGCUCCGUGUCAGCGACAGGUACACGGUGGUAUUUGGUCGACAUUUGCAUGAACUCUUGGACUUACCCUACGAUCCCAGUAAAAAAUACUAUACCAAAGGCAAUUAUGACGGCUUCUACAAGACCGACGUCUACCAGCGGAUGAGACUGGUUUGUCCUCAGCUGGACGAAGAUGAUUGCCUGCUGGAUGGUAAAAAAUCCAAGAUUCUAGCUAUGCUCCCCACCAAAGAGCUAAACGCAUGGGCAGACAUGCUUACGUGGAGUUUCGAUAACCCUGUAUACCUCCCCUUGAACGGCUCGACAGACAGGCUGGAGUUUAUGCUCACGGAUGAGCAUCACCACGAUAAGAACGUUUCUUUCGUGGGAAUUACUAUGCACCUACAGAUAGAAUAAAUCUGUGAGAAAUUACAAAGAUUUAUUGGAGCUUACCUAGUGCACCUCCUAAUGGUACGGAGGAUGAUAAAAGCCAAGUGUACAGACUCGGAAAAAUAGAAGAGGUUAAACAGUACCUACAUAACGAGACCAAAGAGUGGGACAAGCUCGCUAAAAAGUUUAAGAUGCAUGGCACGUGGGUUUGAUACACCGAUCAUGGUCUGCUGGCCGUAAGUGUCACUACUGGCAGUGGCUAUGGGGGGCAUCACCAUAGCCGUAGGAUUGGGUCAAGCAGGCCUAAAGAACACGGGCAAGAGGCUAGAUGUCAAGAGCAAGAAGCACAAGGGUAUAUGGUUGCUGGCGGAGACCAAACUGAACUCUGUUGUCGAUCUCAUUAGCAGAGCUGUGGAGAAUGGCGUGAUUAGCAAUUGUGAAUUCAGCUUGAUUAUGCAGGAAAAGCAACGGUAUAUGUUGCUCAAGGAGCAAAUACGCCAAAGAACCAGAAAGAUUGUAGAGUCCCUUAAUGAACGGGAGAGACAGCAGCUGGUCGAGAAGGGGCGUGAGGAGGGCAAGCAGGAGCUUAUGAAAAAACUUCAAUCUGUGCAACAUGUAAGUGGUAUCUAGAUGAACCGCCAGCUUAUGUCUAGUAUGUUGAACAAUAUACUAGAGUACUUCCCCCUAACUAAAUCGAAGGCGUGAUCACCAUCAUGAGAGACAUGUAGCUGUUUUUCAACGAGCUGUCUCGAGUAUUCUUCGAGAUUUUUCUCCCAAGCGAUCGUGACGCAAGGUUUGCAAUAAGGACCGUCCGUUUGUGUCGAAGCAUCCUUGUACUUGGCCUUUCGGAUCGCUUCGAGAAGGGGGGUCCUGUUCAUGGUUGAAUAGUUGCGGAUCUUAAACGCUUUGGCCUCUUUUUUCAGUUCAUGUACGUUCAUAUUUAGUUAUAUGGGCAUAGGCCAACCAUAUAACACAUUUUCAGACCUAUUUCAAAUAUGAUUCCUUGUCGUCGUCAUUUUCGUCCUCCAGCUCGCUAAGGUAGGGAGUAGUAUGGAAUUCUACAGGCAGGUACGUGCACUCAUCCAGAUUGAAUUGUAGAUGAUGGUUUGAGCCUUGUUUGUAGAUGCCUGAUAGUUUGAGAAUGACUUCGCACUCGCAGCUUUGUUUUAGCGGAACUUUUUGGUAAUGAAAGUCUGUUUUGACCUUGCCUUCACAUUCCUUCACCUUAGCCGUAAUGUACUUGCCUCUUUUCACAGGUUGGGCAGCAAAGGUUUGUAAUUUCAAAGCUUGUACCCUGGUCAUGAUGCUAUUAAAUUUCUCCAACCAUUCGUGGUGAUCAUAGAUGUCGAAUGACAUGGUCAGUGCCGAUCCCUCGGUAUAGCGCGAAGCACCGUUUGAAUAUAGCUUCUUGGGUGUUUUGAUUGUUAAAUGCCGGAUCUUGUCACAAUUUUUAUAGCCAAUUACGGUGCGCUCAUCUUUGCCUCUGUUGGCCAGAACGGGAUCACUUAGCACAAUAUUCUCAAUGUUGAUAUCUUUGAUAUUUAAUGGAGCCGCUUGGGCAUAAAACUCUCUUGUAUUAACAUUCUCUGUACCAAAUUUAAACAUCCUUUUAUUUUGGUAAAAAGGGAGUUCAACUAGAGUCUGGUACAUAGACAGUAGCCGCCAUUAUACGUAAUGUAUAAGUAAUAGCAGGACCAGCACAGCAUUUUGCCGUGUAUAAGGAGCCUCUGUUGACAGCAACAGCACCGGUCGUACUCAUCAAGGACAAUCUCGCAGUCGUCGCAUUGCUCCAUUUAUCUUACAACCCGUGGUUGUAAGAUAGUCCGUGAUCUCCAUACUAAAUCCCCGGGUCGGCUCCCAGGUGGACCAUUUUCUAGGAUCUUAAAUGCUACGGAAGAAACUCGAUCAGCCAUGGUUUCUCCCGAAUUGCCCGGGUACACAUUUCUUGUGUCUUGAAAUGGUCCGGAACGCAUUGUAGAGCCAAGGGAUCCUCUUGAACAGCCAUGGUAUACAUUUCCCGGGUCUUGAAAUGGUUUGGAAUACCAUCGAGUACCCUAGGCCUCUUUUCAACUGCCCCGGUACACAUUUCCUAGGUCUUGAAAUAGUCCGCAACAUACCAGAGCAGCCAGGGAUCCCAUUCAACCACUCUGUCACACACUUCUUGGCUCAUGAACCGAUACGGAACAUAUUCGAGCGCCCUGGGAUCUAUUUGAACUGGCAUGACACACAUUUCUUACGUCUUGAAAUGGCCUGGAACAAGCUGCCCCUGGCUCUGGGAUAUUGUUGAACCGCCUGAGUACACAUAUCUUGCGUUUUGAAAUGGUCUGGAAUGUGGUUGAAUAACAAAGGAUUUUCUUGAAACACUCUAUUACACAUUUCUGGGUCGUGAAAGUUUCUGUAACAUCCAUUUAUUAUAUAUUGGGAAGCUCAAUCGGCGUCCUGGUGCGAUUAUAGUUUUGAUAUCAGGACUUUCCCCUACUCAAUUGUGCAAUCUCUUUUUGUUGAUGUCAGCAAUAUUACUAUCGGCGUGUGCUCAUGCAUCGGGGAUGUCGGUUUCGGAUUUGUUUUCAGAUUUAUUUUUGGAUGCCAUCGGAUUUACCGGUUUUGGGAGGGUAGGGGCUCGGGUGGGGGUAGAGGUGGUGGAAGCGGGGUUUUGGCGGGGUAAAGGUGUGAAAGGAGAAAAAAAAACGCUUAUAAUGCUCUUAUCUUACUAUACUACUAUAUUUUAUCUUUUAAUUUUCAUUGUGAGAUUGAUGCUUUUGCUACCCCCUCUUUUUUAAACAAAAUCAGGAAAGUGAGUUGUUU